This 490-nucleotide ribosomal RNA is filed under the name uncultured bacterium. RNAcentral's name for it is "partial 16S ribosomal RNA". It matches the Rfam family "Bacterial small subunit ribosomal RNA", at positions 30 to 507 of the family's 1533-position model. The record is from RNAcentral.
AUUGAACGCUGGCGGCAGGCCUAACACAUGCAAGUCGAACGGUAACAGGAAGAAGCUUGCUUCUUUGCUGACGAGUGGCGGACGGGUGAGUAAUGUCUGGGAAACUGCCUGAUGGAGGGGGAUAACUACUGGAAACGGUAGCUAAUACCGCAUAACGUCGCAAGACCAAAAAGGGGGACCUUCGGGCCUCUUGCCAUCGGAUGUGCCCAGAUGGGAUUAGCUAGUAUGUGGGGGAACGGCUCACCUAGGAGACGAUCCCUAGCUGGUCUGAGAGGAUGACCACCCACACUGUAACUGAGACACAUUCCACACUCCUACGGUAGGCAGCAGUCCGGAAUAUUGCACAAUGGGCGCAAGCCUGAUGCAGCCAUGCCGCGUGUAUCAAGAAGCCCUUCUGGUUCUUAAGUACUUUCAGCCGUAAGGAUGUAAGUAACUUUAAUCCCUUUUCUCAUUGACGUUACCCGCAGAAGAAGCACCGGCUAACUCCGUG